AUGGCGACAGAGAUUCAAGCGGGCGACCCUGUCCCAGCCGCCGCAUCGUGCCUCACCGAGACGAGGAGGCUGCCGCCGUGCUUGGGUAGAAGCGGAGGCUGCCGCCGCGCUCGGGGAGAAGAGGAGGCCGCCGCCGUGCUCGGGGAGAAGAGGAGGCCGCCGCGCUUGGGGAGAAGAGGAGGCCGCCGCCGUGCUCGGGGAGAAGAGGAGGCCGCCGCCGUGCUCGGGGAGAAGAGGAGGCCGCCGCCGUGCUCGGGGAGAAGAGGAGGCCGCCGCGUUCGGGGAGAAGAGGACGUCACCACCGGUCGGGGAGAAAAAGAAGCCAACCGCGCUCAGGAAGGUGAGUUCGUCGCCGUCCUCCAUGGCGUCCGCCAACAGAGCUUGGAAGGAAGCUGGGGUCACCAAUCACGGGGAGGUCCCAGUCCUCCAUGGCGCGCGCGAGGGAGGUCGUCGGCCGGUGGCCUGCAAGCCGGCAGACGGUGGUGCUAG
Molecule: ribosomal RNA, 489 nt
Filed under: Triticum aestivum (bread wheat)
Lineage: Eukaryota; Viridiplantae; Streptophyta; Magnoliopsida; Poales; Poaceae
Description: partial small subunit ribosomal RNA
Source: RNAcentral